GACGAACGCUGGCGGCGUGCCUAAUACAUGCAAGUCGAGCGAGCUUGCCUAGAUGAAUUUGGUGCUUGCACCAAAUGAAACUAGAUACAAGCGAGCGGCGGACGGGUGAGUAACGCGUGGGUAACCUGCCCAAGAGACUGGGAUAACACCUGGAAACAGAUGCUAAUACCGGAUAACAACACUAGACGCAUGUCUAGAGUUUAAAAGAUGGUUCUGCUGUCACUCUUGGAUGGACCUGCGGUGCAUUAGCUAGUUGGUAAGGCAACGGCUUACCAAGGCAAUGAUGCAUAGCCGAGUUGAGAGACUGAUCGGCCACAUUGGGACUGAGACACGGCCCAAACUCCUACGGGAGGCAGCAGUAGGGAAUCUUCCACAAUGGACGCAAGUCUGAUGGAGCAACGCCGCGUGAGUGAAGAAGGGUUUCGGCUCGUAAAGCUCUGUUGGUAGUGAAGAAAGAUAGAGGUAGUAACUGGCCUUUAUUUGACGGUAAUUACUUAGAAAGUCACGGCUAACUACGUG
This 519-nucleotide ribosomal RNA is filed under the name uncultured bacterium. Its description in RNAcentral is "partial 16S ribosomal RNA". It matches the Rfam family "Bacterial small subunit ribosomal RNA", at positions 28 to 507 of the family's 1533-position model. The record is from RNAcentral.